GAUGAACGCUGGCGGCGUGCCUAAUACAUGCAAGUCGAGCGAACAGACGAGGAGCUUGCUCCUCUGACGUUAGCGGCGGACGGGUGAGUAACACGUGGAUAACCUACCUAUAAGACUGGGAUAACUUCGGGAAACCGGAGCUAAUACCGGAUAAUAUAUUGAACCGCAUGGUUCAAUAGUGAAAGACGGUUUUGCUGUCACUUAUAGAUGGAUCCGCACCGCAUUAGCUAGUUGGUAAGGUAACGGCUUACCAAGGUAACGAUGCGUAGCCGACCUGAGAGGGUGAUCGGCCACACUGGAACUGAGACACGGUCCAGACUCCUACGGGAGGCAGCAGUAGGGAAUCUUCCGCAAUGGGCGAAAGCCUGACGGAGCAACGCCGCGUGAGUGAUGAAGGUCUUCGGAUCGUAAAACUCUGUUAUUAGGGAAGAACAAAUGUGUAAGUAACUAUGCACGUCUUGACGGUACCUAAUCAGAAAGCCACGGCUAACUACGUG
This 497-nucleotide ribosomal RNA is filed under the name uncultured bacterium. Its description in RNAcentral is "partial 16S ribosomal RNA". It matches the Rfam family "Bacterial small subunit ribosomal RNA", at positions 28 to 507 of the family's 1533-position model. The record is from RNAcentral.